CAGAGAUAUGCCCUCCGGGGCAGACCUCCCACCCUGUAUAAUUUACUCUUGUUGCUUUGGCAGGCCGCCCCCGGGCCCCCGGCACCCGCUGCUGGGGAGCGCCUGCCAGAGGACCCCAACUCUUGUGUUUAGUGUCGUCUGAGUACUAUAUAAAUAAGUUA
RNAcentral lists this unclassified non-coding RNA (161 nucleotides) under uncultured Helotiales. RNAcentral describes it as "sequence contains ITS1". Lineage: Eukaryota; Fungi; Ascomycota; Leotiomycetes; Helotiales. The record is from RNAcentral.